RNAcentral lists this ribosomal RNA (482 nucleotides) under uncultured bacterium. Its description in RNAcentral is "partial 16S ribosomal RNA". It matches the Rfam family "Bacterial small subunit ribosomal RNA", at positions 30 to 507 of the family's 1533-position model. The record is from RNAcentral.
AUUGAACGCUGGCAGCAUGCCUUACACAUGCAAGUCGAACGGUAACAGGUCUUCGGAUGCUGACGAGUGGCGCACGGGUGAGUAAUACAUCGGAACGUGCCCGAUCGUGGGGGAUAACGAGGCGAAAGCUUUGCUAAUACCGCAUACGAUCUACGGAUGAAAGCGGGCGAUCUUCGGACCUCGCGCGGACGGAGCGGCCGAUGGCAGAUUAGGUAGUUGGUGGGAUAAAAGCUUACCAAGCCGACGAUCUGUAGCUGGUCUGAGAGGAUGAUCAGCCACACUGGGACUGAGACACGGCCCAGACUCCUACGGGAGGCAGCAGUGGGGAAUUUUGGACAAAGGGCGAAAGCCUGAUCCAGCCAUGCCGCGUGCAGGAUGAAGGCCUUCGGGUUGUAAACUGCUUUUGUACGGAACGAAAAGCCUCUUUCUAAUAAAGAGGGGUCAUGACGGUACCGUAAGAAUAAGCACCGGCUAACUACGUG